Chaetomium sp. MPI-CAGE-AT-0009 is the source of this 83-nucleotide non-coding RNA. NCBI's taxonomy places the organism in Eukaryota, Fungi, Ascomycota, Sordariomycetes, Sordariales, Chaetomiaceae. The record is from the annotation of a GenBank genome assembly.
GGGCAAUUGGUCUAGGGGUAUAAUUUUCGCUUCGCACUAUAUGCUACUGUGAAAGGUCACCGGUUCAAAUCCGGUAUUGUCCA